UCAAACAAGAUGUAAUGUAUGGAUCUUAGAUGGAGAUCUAUACCACAAAGGGCUACUCAAGUUCUCUCUGGAUGCCCUUUCUCUGAGGGACACUCUGGUCAUGUUGGUCGUCGAUAUGUCAAAGCCUUGGACUGCUUUGGAUUCCUUACAGAAGUGGGCAAGUGUGGUGAGAGAACAUGUUGACAAACUGAAAAUCCCCCCUGAAGAAAUGAAGGAAAUGGAGCAGAAGUGUGAGUGGCCAGAAAAUUCGGGCUCCUAUUGAGAUAUCUUAGCAGACUAUAAAAACCAGACAUGCCAAUGUGGGCUUCCAUUGAGAUAUCUUAGCUAACUAUAAAAGCCAUUCCAAUUGUUUUCUCUAUAAACAAGAUUCAGUGAAGGAAAUACAAUGACUACCAUUUUGAAACUUAGUUAGAAUGAUGUACAGAGUUUUAAUAUUUAAUAUACAGGGGUUGGGGAUUCAGUGGUAAAACGCUUGCCUAGCAAGCAGGAGGCCCUGGGUUCGGUCCCAAGCUCAAAA
This 517-nucleotide long non-coding RNA is filed under the name Rattus norvegicus (Norway rat). RNAcentral describes it as "long non-coding RNA NONRATT028117". The record is from RNAcentral. Lineage: Eukaryota; Metazoa; Chordata; Mammalia; Rodentia; Muridae.